AGAGUUUGAUCCUGGCUCAGAAUCAACGCUGGCGGCGUGCCUCAGACAUGCAAGUCGAACGAUUAAGACUUCCUUCGGGAAGUGCAUAAAGUGGCGCACGGGUGAGUAACACGUAAGUAAUCUACCUUCGAGUGGGGAAUAACGUCCGGAAACGGACGCUAAUACCGCAUAAUGCAGCGGCAUCGAAAGAUGACAGUUGUUAAAGGAGCAAUUCGCUUGAAGAGGAGCUUGCGGCAGAUUAGCUAGUUGGUAAGGUAAUGGCUUACCAAGGCUACGAUCUGUAACCGGUCUAAGAGGACGGUCGGUCACACUGACACUGAAUAACGGGUCAGACUCCUACGGGAGGCAGCAGUCGGGAAUUUUGGGCAAUGGGCGAAAGCCUGACCCAGCAACGCCGCGUGAAGGAUGAAGUAUUUCGGUAUGUAAACUUCGAAAGAAUAGGAAGAAUUAAUGACGGUACUAUUUAUAAGGUCCGGCUAACUACGUGCCAGCAGCCGCGGUAAUACGUAGGGACCAAGCGUUGUUCGGAUUUACUGGGCGUAAAGGGCGCGUAGGCGGCAUGACAAGUCACUUGUGAAAUCUCCGGGCUUAACUCGGAACGGUCAAGUGAUACUGUCGCGCUAGAGUGCGGAAGGGGCAAUCAGAAUUCUUGGUGUAGCGGUGAAAUGCAGAUAUCAAGAGGAAUACCUGAGGUGAAGACGGGUUGCUAGGCCGACACUGACGCUGAAGCGCGAAAGCCAGGGGAGCAAACGGGAUUAGAUACCCCGGUAGUCC
Molecule: ribosomal RNA, 774 nt
Filed under: uncultured bacterium
Lineage: Bacteria
Description: bacterial SSU rRNA
Rfam family: Bacterial small subunit ribosomal RNA
Source: RNAcentral